AUGUUUAGUUACGAAGUCGUCACGGACGCUACAGGCCGCGUUCUGGAUACGGAGGCCUUGCUGCUCAUAGCUCACAACCUGCUGGAAGUUCCCAAGGAUCUAUUUUUGGAGGGGGCGGUGUCCACUGAAGGCCUUGGCACAGAUCUGACCGAGGAGAAUGUGUACAAGGUGGCGGAGAUGCAGCUCUCCCUCAUGCACGACUUGUUCUACACCCUCUGCAUCCGUGUAAUCUCUCUUGUAGCCACCUCCACUGCGUUGUUGUUGUUUUUGUUGUUGUUUCAGGUACUGGGUGGUGAUCAUAAGGUUCAUUAG
This 312-nucleotide ribosomal RNA is filed under the name Triticum aestivum (bread wheat). RNAcentral's name for it is "partial small subunit ribosomal RNA". The record is from RNAcentral. Lineage: Eukaryota; Viridiplantae; Streptophyta; Magnoliopsida; Poales; Poaceae.